UACGUAGGGAGCGAGCGUUAUCCGGAUUUAUUGGGUGUAAAGGGUGCGUAGACGGGUUAGCAAGUUAGUUGUGAAAUCCCUCGGCUUAACUGAGGAACUGCAACUAAAACUGUUAAUCUUGAGUGCAGGAGAGGUAAGUGGAAUUCCUAGUGUAGCGGUGAAAUGCGUAGAUAUUAGGAGGAACACCAGUGGCGAAGGCGACUUACUGGACUGUAACUGACGUUGAGGCACGAAAGUGUGGGGAGCAA
This 248-nucleotide ribosomal RNA is filed under the name uncultured Oscillospiraceae bacterium. RNAcentral's name for it is "partial 16S ribosomal RNA". It matches the Rfam family "Bacterial small subunit ribosomal RNA", at positions 524 to 771 of the family's 1533-position model. The record is from RNAcentral. Lineage: Bacteria; Bacillati; Bacillota; Clostridia; Eubacteriales; Oscillospiraceae.